RNAcentral lists this ribosomal RNA (274 nucleotides) under Duganella sp. sic0402. RNAcentral describes it as "partial 23S ribosomal RNA". It matches the Rfam family "Bacterial large subunit ribosomal RNA", at positions 1397 to 1678 of the family's 2925-position model. Lineage: Bacteria; Pseudomonadati; Pseudomonadota; Betaproteobacteria; Burkholderiales; Oxalobacteraceae. The record is from RNAcentral.
CGAGGCAGAGAUGCGUAGCUGAUGGGAAGCAGGUUAAUAUUCCUGCACCGUCGUAUGAUGCGAUGGGGGGACGGAUCGCGGAAGGUUGUCUGACUGUUGGAAUAGUCAGUUUCUGCUUCAUAGAAGGCACUUAGGCAAAUCCGGGUGCGUAAUUCAAGGGAGUGGGACGAGUGCACUUGUGCACGUAGCAAUCGGAAGUGGUUCCAAGAAAAGCCUCUAAGCUUCAGUCAUACGAGACCGUACCGCAAACCGACACAGGUGGGCGAGAUGAGUA